ACUGAGAUACCUGCUUCUUUGUCCAUCACCUUUUGAGAUAUCAAUAGAAGAAUUAAUUCUUCCUAAUCC
Otolemur garnettii (small-eared galago) is the source of this 69-nucleotide non-coding RNA. NCBI's taxonomy places the organism in Eukaryota, Metazoa, Chordata, Mammalia, Primates, Galagidae. The record is from Rfam.